Molecule: long non-coding RNA, 275 nt
Filed under: Musa acuminata (dwarf banana)
Lineage: Eukaryota; Viridiplantae; Streptophyta; Magnoliopsida; Zingiberales; Musaceae
Description: long non-coding RNA (MACU_LNC001629)
Source: RNAcentral
UUAAACACAAUAUGGCAAAUUGAUUUACUCCAUCAAACUGUUACACUAAAAAAAAUACCAUAAACCAAGCGUUCGUACUCAUUUAAGGGUGUAGAAAAGCAAACUAAGCCACAUGAACCUCAAAAGCACAUUUUUGGAUAUUCAUAGGCAAAGCCAAUAUGUGAAUAAACACACACACACACCAGCAGUUCAAACUUUGCCGAAUAUUUCAUGCUCCUGAGAACAAUAAUCUUAUUUUCGAAGAAAACUAGUUAAAGGCCUAACCAGACCCAACU